ACAAGCAACAAGCAAAUGUACUAAAAAACAAUCCUUUACUUUUUUUUAUAACGUCAAAACCAUCCUUUACUUCAUUAACACAAAAGUUCCAUUAAAAUUAAUAAAAAUAAAUAGAGAACGACCGAAGUCGGAGUAAUCUCCUCUCGAGAGUCGGUUUCUUCAUUAUCCAUCUCCGGCCCCAACAACAUCUUCUCUGUCACAGCCGACAUCCGUUUCGUCACGUCUUCCCCAAGUCGCCGUCAUCCCUUUGAUUCAAGAAAGC
RNAcentral lists this long non-coding RNA (262 nucleotides) under Brassica napus (rape). Its description in RNAcentral is "long non-coding RNA (BNAP_LNC019682)". Lineage: Eukaryota; Viridiplantae; Streptophyta; Magnoliopsida; Brassicales; Brassicaceae. The record is from RNAcentral.